UGCAGUUGAGCGAGGUUCAACUAGUAGCAAUACUGGGGAAGACCUAGCGGCGAACGGGUGAGUAACACGUGAGAAACCUGCCUCGAAGUCUGGGAUAAGCCGGGGAAACCUGGUCUAAUACCGGAUCGCCCCUACGGAUCGCAUGGUCUGUAGAGGAAAGAACUUCGCUUCGAGAGGGUCUCGCGGCCUAUCAGCUAGUUGGUGAGGUAACGGCUCACCAAGGCAUCGACGGGUAGCUGGUCUGAGAGGACGAUCAGCCACACUGGGACUGAGACACGGCCCAGACUCCUACGGGAGGCAGCAGUAGGGAAUUGUUCGCAAUGGGCGCAAGCCUGACGACGCAACGCCGCGUGGAGGAUGAAGACCUUCGGGUCGUAAACUCCUUUCGAUCGAGACGAAUGGCCUUUGGGUUAAUAGCCUGGAGGAAUGACGGUACCCGAGAGAAGAAGCCCCGGUUAACUCCCGUGCCAGCAAGGCCGGGUAAAUACGGGGGGGGGCAAGCGUUGUCGGGAAUUACUGGGCGUAAAGGGGCUCGUAAGGCGGCAAAUUAAAGUCAAGACGUGGAAUCCCCUCGGGUUAACCGGGGGGG
This 589-nucleotide ribosomal RNA is filed under the name uncultured bacterium. Its description in RNAcentral is "bacterial SSU rRNA". It matches the Rfam family "Bacterial small subunit ribosomal RNA", at positions 56 to 621 of the family's 1533-position model. The record is from RNAcentral.